CAUCAUAGAAUGUCAUAGAGGUGAUGCCGGUAGGCGUUUGUUUUGCUGCGCUUUCUGCCGUUGGUGCUUUGCACGGCUUUCCCAUGGCUUUCCAUUGAGGCAGGAUGCAGUUGUAUGUUCUAUCGGCGUGCCACCGUGCCAUGCUUGCUAGCAUGUAUCGCUAGCCUUCACCUGUUUCACCUGAAUAGCUCGCACGCGCAGUUGAUCAAGAACACGGCUCCGGAUCGGAUCGUAGUCUGUACCACGGUGGUCCGUACUGAAUGCGUGUCGGUACGUGGAUGUAGCGCACAGAAAACACGCUGGGGAUCGGUUCUUUACGUGAACGUUCUGCAUAGCCCCCGCCACGGACUGCAAUUAGUGGAUGUAGCAGUACGACGUAGCACGUACAAAAAGACAGGCGAAUAAGGCAAUCGGGACGUCUCCGCUUCUCUUCUCUUGUCCGUGUUACGCCGCGCUAAUUGACUAAAUUCGCUGCCCAGGUAUAGCUAUGAAUGCCCACCAGCUUGCCCGCCUUUCACUCAUUCUGCAAUAGCAAGAGAUUGCUUCGGAGGUUAAACGUGGUUAAACUUCAUGCCGGCGUCACUUCGACGUAUCGAUCGCUCGUGGUGUGUGUCAUGCGCGAACGAUCAAAAAUUCAAAUUUGGUUUCUUCUAACGGAGGCUGCACACGCAGUCACGAAGCAAGUUCUCAAAUGACAAAUAUUGAAAAGCUACCCGCGCGUUAUUUGCUCGCAAAACUGUGCCUCUUUCUCGAAAUGCGCAAGAGUGUGCAGUGUGCAAGAGACUGCAUAACGUACAUGUAUUCGCUGCUCGCUAACGGUGCUAUAGAACAAUGGUUGUUUUUAUAAUAGAAAAAUUGAACAGUGAAUGUAACAGUAUUCAUAAUGUUCAGCUAUAAACCAGCACUUGUCCAUGCUGUCGUUCAGCAAAAUCGGCUGUGAUAGACAUUUAUGUAUAGCAAAGAGUGCUUAAUUAUUAGCAAUUAUAAUGUGCUGGAACUUACGAACUUAGCCCUGAUAUAUCAGUGACAUGUGACCGUGUGGAUGUGCUCAUUGCAAUUGAUGCAGCUGAAAUUUUUCAGAACUUAACAAUUGUUUGAAAUCGGCAUUCAACUGGCACCUUAGCUAACUUGACCUGCUGGCCGAAACAGCUCUAAACUUUUCUGCUUGAGAUGUAACGGUAUUCCUCAUUUCACAAGGCUAAUUUACUUCAACGACAAGGUACACCAAGGGAACAAUACAAACAAGAAGAAACAACUUGUACAAGAAUUGACAUGGAAAGUGCCACUACAUAUGCGAAGCAUGAUUUGUAGCAGUGAGAUAAGUUAUUGUGAACUGAACAUUUGUGAUCUGAUAAAGUGUCCGCUAGAUUGUCCAGUUUUCUCCCUUCCGUUAUUUAAGUAAUAUAAGUAUAAAUAUGUAAGUACACAUUUAUCAGACGACAGUGCUGGGUGCCUCAGCUAACAUGCACAAAGUUUUCAUUUUUUUUUUCUUUUUACCCAAGCGUUCUAUGUAGACGAAACAAACUGGUUCAAUCAAUUUAUCAUUUUAUAUCCCUUGUACCCGUAGGAGUUCACCCCAUUGGCUAUGGCGUUGCACUGCAGAGCUCGAAGUUUGAUCCCAGCCAUCCGGUGGCCGCAUUUCGACGGAGAGUGAAAUUAUGCAAAAGCACUUGUAUAAUCUACAGGUACACGUUUAAAGAACCCCAGUUGGCCAAAAUUAAUGUGGAGUCUCCCACGGCCUGGCAAUCAUGUCGUGGCUUAAUUAGUACGUAAAAACCCAUAAUUGAAUUAAGUUUGCCUGUUAGGUCAAUGCAGUGAGUUUCUUUCUAAGGCUACUGUUUUUGUGAACGGUCCGUACCUCUACCUUAAGUUGCGUACAAUAAACUUUUCCUUAUCUGUAUGUCGGAACCUGAAGAAGCGUGUCGUUCUUGUUAUUACUCCUAAUUAAUUAUUUUGCAUAUAUUAAUUAACAAACUUUAUUUUUACACUUAAGGCAGAUAUAUGUCAGCACUAGCACAGGUUUUUUUUUUUGCCAUCCAGACAUGAUUCGAAGGCAACUCAUGCGAUGCGUGUUCACGCCACUAUUGAAAAGCUCCGAGUUGUUAAUGGCAUGCGCUACUGCUGCGUGACAAUGCCGCAAAUAUAUUAGCGCAUAGAAGUCUGCCGUUGGACGACGUCAGUAUACUUCCAUGUGUCAAGCCUGUAAUGACGCUCUGCGAGUUAAUGUGGCCGCCGUAAAUAACAUGCAUACACUUCACACGUGGCAUCGCGUAGCUGUAGUAUUUUGCCCUUGGAAACAAUAUAUAGAAGAAACGAGCCUUUCAUGCCUUGUAAGCCUGCUUGAAGAGUAAUCCAGCAAUCCAUGGCAAUAAGUGAUGAUGUCUGGUUGAAAUAGCGGGCUGUAAUUGAAUUUCUGCGAAACGGUCAGACAAUAAACUCCGACUGCUACGUUGACACCCUAAAACGACUGUGGGCCAGACUGCAAUGCACUCACAAAGAUACUCGUAAACAGGCAAUUCUGCACCACAACAAUGCUCGUCCGCACAGAAGCCAGAAAACUCGAAAAACACUGCAGCAUCUGAGGUUCACGGACAUUCUGCCUCAUCCUGCCUACAGUCCGGAUCUUGCGCCCUGCGACUUUUGUCUCUUCCCCAGACUUAAGGGUUACCUUAGGGGCCUAUGCCACAGUUGUGACACAGAGGUGGAAGUAGCAGUUCGGCAAUGGUGUCGCCAGCAGCCACCACAAUUCUUCGCCAACGGCAUGAAAAACCUUGUUUUGCAUUGGCACAAGUGUGUUGCCCGUAAUGGGGACUAUGUUGAAAACUGAUAGCACCAUUUGUAGCCGACAUUGCAAGCUUUCCACUAGUACUUGUAUCGGUGCCAUCUGUCUGACACGAAUAAAGGUAUCAGCUUGGAUAAAUUA
Molecule: long non-coding RNA, 2923 nt
Organism: Dermacentor andersoni
Lineage: Eukaryota; Metazoa; Arthropoda; Arachnida; Ixodida; Ixodidae
Source: RefSeq, a predicted model, not a curated record